RNAcentral lists this long non-coding RNA (731 nucleotides) under Rattus norvegicus (Norway rat). Its description in RNAcentral is "long non-coding RNA NONRATT007586". Lineage: Eukaryota; Metazoa; Chordata; Mammalia; Rodentia; Muridae. The record is from RNAcentral.
UCAUCCCCUUCAACUUGUCCUUUCCAUUACUGAGGACUCAGGCUGCGGUGGCUCACACCUUUCACCCCAGCAUUUGGCACGUGGAGGCAAGAUCAUCAGGACCCCUGGGAUGACCUGGGAGCCACCCAGGAAAUAUCCAUAUUCUGAGGCUAUCGACUGACAACCUGAAUUCCACUUUGUCUUGUUAAGUCACACUGUCUGUAAAAUAAUCUUGUUCCAGCCCGAGAAAAGCAGCCGCCACCUUCAGGAUCUUAGGGUUACUACUUGCAAGCCACCGUGAAGAUGGGGCUUGCAGUCUGUUCACGUUCACUCAUAGAAGGCGGGGUUGUUCUUGAAGCCUCAACCAAGAACCAGCCAGUUCUCCCAGCCCUGUGUUUACAAUUCUGCUCAAAUUUACAGGCACACCAGCUGGAAGGUUAAUUGAAGAGAGGUUCCGGUGUGGGUAUUUAGGGGGCGACGGGAGGCCAUCAUCUGUGCAGAACUUGCCGAACUGCUGCUUUGGAGUCACCCGCACUCCACAGUUAAGCCCAUCACACUCAUUGAUUCCCGAGAGGUUGAAUAUCGUUGGCAUUUAAAGACUUUCUAAAACAACAAAAGAUAACGCAGGGAAGAAACCAGGCUCGUUUGAAGAAACGCAUGGCCUUAUCACCGGGAACUGCGAAAGGGAGCAGAGAGUCCUUCAAAUGCAAAGGAGAAGCCGCAAUAUUAACCUGCAUCACAGCCCUGCACUC